ACCAUGUAGCGGUGUAGCUAACUACUGGAAAUACACUACUGUUUUACCAUGUAGCGGUGUAGUAGACAAGAAUGUCCUUUCUUUUCCUCAUCAGACCUGAUUCUCACUUGCUGUGUUUAAUAGCAUAAUUACACAUUCUGUUAGCAUAUGACGACAGCGGGGUCUGGUCUUCCAGUUUGAAGUCUGACAUUUCAUAUUUAGAUAUGAUAUUUUUUAGUCGUAGUUUGGAAGUAGUGAGCUAUUUUUCUCAGAAACUUUAGUUCAUUAAACUAUGUUUUUCUUAAGCUUUAGUGUAGCUGUUACCAGUGUUCAGUAAUUGGUAGCUUGGUGAACUAUAUUUUCCCCAAAACUGGUUAGCACACACAUAGUCACACAGUCACACACACAAACGCGUGCACACACACACACACAGGAAGGAAGGAAAGUCGGGGAAAGUCGGGGUUACUAUAACCAUGGUAACUAGUGUUGUGUUGUGACAGAUGCAUCAUGGGACUGUGAGUCAUCCAGGGGUCAGGAGACGUCUCUGGACCGCAACCAGCCCUGCGCCGUCAAGAGGUCAGGAUCGUAUGAGGGCCCACAUCCACCUUCAUCAUCCCCAUCAUCACCUCAACCGCCCUCCCCCAGCAGGUGUGUGAGUGGUAAGCGUCAGUGUUCAGGUUGCAAUCAGGCGCUGGGGAAAGGAACAGCUAUGAACAUCGACACGCUGGGCCUGUACUUCCACCUAACCUGCUUUAAGUGUGGAGUGUGUAAGGUACAGCUAGGUGACACCAGUUCAGGAACAGACGUUAGGAUCCGUAACGGGCUGCUGAGCUGUCACGACUGCUAUGCCACAUCACACGCAGUUGGCCAGCCGACUACGCUGUGAUUGGCUACAGCCUGCAUCUGGAACCCUUCACAACAUUCUGGAACGCUGUGGAAUUCUCUUAACUGGACACACAAACUUCUCCCAGAUGAUGUCAUGGAGACUGAACUGCCUGAUGCUAACUGAUGCUAAUGGAGGCUAACUGCUAAGUGCUAGCGUUGUAGCUGAUCAACCAGUUUUUCCCAGACUGACUUGAGUACAGAGACCUGAAGCACAACCACUGAUCUACGACAGCACACUCAGACACAUGCUACAUGCUAACACCAGCAGCAGUCAGAAUGUAGUAGCUACCUACCUUACUGUCAAAUUAGCUAAAUGAUAAAUGCUAACGGAUGCUAACUGCUAAAUGCUACUGUUCACUCACCAUCAUAAUGCCUUAAUAACUCUGUUUUGUUUUGUGUUUUAAGUAUUUUGCAUGAACGAAGACCGUGUUAGUUGUUGUUGUUGUUAACGGUAGUUAGGCUGUGUUACCUAGCGACAGCCCUGACUACUACAUAUAGUUGUUAUGGUUACCGUAUGCCUCUCCUCCAUGUUGUUGUGUAAUGAUACAAGCUUUGUCUUUAUUCUAAUGUUCACCUGAUCAUCAUGUACAUCAUUAUGCUGCGUUCAUUACUCUGAGAGCAAUAAGGAUGCAUGAUCGCUUUAGUUAUUAUUGGAUGUUAUUAUUACCAUUUAAUACCAAGGAUAUUCUGACAUUGUGUUUUAGAGCUUUGCAUCAUACUCUGCCUUAAGACGAGAGUGAGAGGGAUAGCACGCGUGUAGUGUGCGUGUGUGUGUGCAUGUGUGUGUGAGUUGUUUUAGUUCAACUUGAAGCACAGUCCUAUACCAGCGAAUAUUACUACACAUUGACCCGCCCUCUCCCUCUUUUUCUCACCUGAUUGGACCUUUACUCCUAAGAACAACCAAUGAAUGAGACAAAGUUAUCUGCUGCUUCCUGUUUAUGCCCAGCCUCUUGUCCUGUGGCAUUUUUAGGCCUAUUUCUUACACCAAUCAAAUGCUUUGGAUAGAUGUGUAGAGGAGAGGAGAA
Long non-coding RNA from Oncorhynchus tshawytscha (Chinook salmon), 1889 nucleotides. RefSeq lists it as uncharacterized. The transcript has 5 exons. NCBI's taxonomy places the organism in Eukaryota, Metazoa, Chordata, Actinopteri, Salmoniformes, Salmonidae. The record is from RefSeq and is a predicted model, not a curated record.